GGAGUUACUUUAAAAGAGGCUUUAAAUUUUCCAGUGAGAAGAUUUUUAUUUUGCUACUUCUUGUGUUUUGUUUUGCAUCUUAAUUUCUAACUUUAUUGCAGAGUGACAAAAUAAUCAGAUUUGUGUGCUUUUUGGAAUUUACUGGGAUUCCCUUUGUGGUCAGAUACAUGACUAAUUUGUAAAAGGGCCAUGGGUGCCUGGAAGAAAUGAGUCCUCACUCCACCGGGGACAAUGUGUUAUUUAUACAUAUUAGGUACAUUUCAGAACUCUAUUGUGCCUUGCACUGAAGCAAACGACUGUAUAUCUUUUUAGUGGACUGUAGCUUUUAUCAGUAUGAACUAAUCCAUGUUUACUGUAAUGCUUUCUAUUUUAUUUUUUUUUAAUUUUGGUAAAAUGCACAUAACAUAAAGUUUGCCACUUUAACCAUUUUUAAGUGUACAGUUCUAUGGCCUUAAGUACAUCACACUGUGGUGCAACCAUCACUGCCUUCCGCCCACAGAGCUCUUCUCUGUAAAACUGAAACUCUACACGUUAAGUAACAACUCGCCAUUCCUCUUUCCUCCCUGCCCGCCCCAGCAAUUGCCCCUCAACUUUCUGUCUCUGUGAACCCGAUUAUUCUACGAUCCUCAUCCUUGAGCUGCAUUGCAAAGGUCUCCAUAGUUCCCAGGCCCCAGGAAAUGGAGCACAAAGGCAGAAGAACAUUUACCUCUCCACGCUGUCACUGACUGAUGUCUCAUCUAGGACCUCCUCAAAGUGUUGUGCUCCCUCAGGCAAGGGGAUGCGAUGGCAGACCCUCAAAGGCACCAGGCCACCCUUUGCCCUCCACAACUCAGCGCUGACACAUCAUUGGCUGCUGGACUGGCAUGGGAGAUCAUGACUCGAAGAGACUAGCUGAUACUCUUGAAGGGUCCUGGACGAACAAGCGACCACAGGUUUUUCAUCAAAAAGUAGCCAGCCCCUUAGAGAAAUGGUUUCCAGUUUCAUCUUUCCAUCACAUUUCACCUAUUAAACAACAGAGCGACACAAUUUUGAAAAGGUCAAAGACUGUAAUGUUACCCAUGACAAACAUGUUGGAAGCAAGUUUCACUAAAAUGGAGGAAAAGGAGAAACUCAGAUUUGAUGGUUAUAGGCCAAAACCACCACCUGGAGUCUCACUGGUGUGUUUGUCAGGUGGCCUUUGUUUCUCAAAUAACCAUUCAUAUACAUUUAUACGGGUUGUUCACAAUCAAUAUAUUUUUUUAAGUUUUUAGUUAUUUAUUUUGAGAGAGAGAGAAGGAGGGGCAGAGAGAGAGGGAGAGAGACAG
Long non-coding RNA from Herpailurus yagouaroundi (jaguarundi), 1304 nucleotides. RefSeq lists it as uncharacterized. Lineage: Eukaryota; Metazoa; Chordata; Mammalia; Carnivora; Felidae. The record is from RefSeq and is a predicted model, not a curated record. The transcript is spliced from 4 exons.